RNAcentral lists this ribosomal RNA (468 nucleotides) under uncultured bacterium. RNAcentral describes it as "partial 16S ribosomal RNA". It matches the Rfam family "Bacterial small subunit ribosomal RNA", at positions 28 to 507 of the family's 1533-position model. The record is from RNAcentral.
GACGAACGCUGGCGGCGUGCUUAACACAUGCAAGUCGAACGGAAAGGCCCUGCUUUUGUGGGGUGCUCGAGUGGGGAACGGGUGAGUAACACGUGAGUAACCUGCCCUUGACUUUGGGAUAACUUCAGGAGACUGGGGCUCAUACAGGAUAGGAGCUCCUGAUGCACGGUGGGGGUUGGAAAGUUUCGGCGGUUGGGGAUGGACUAGCGGCUUAUCAGCUUGUUGGUGGGGUAGUGGCUUACCAAGGCUUUGACGGGUAGCCGGCCUGAGAGGGUGACCGGCGACAAUGGGACUGAGGUACGGCCCAGACGCCUACGGGAGGCAGCAGUGGAGAAUAUUGCACAAUGGGCGGAAGCCUGAGGCAGCAACGCCGCGUGCGGGAUGACGGCCUACGGGUGGUAAACCGCUUUCGCCGGUGACGAAGCGUGAGUGACGGUAAUGGGUAAAGAAGCACCGGCUAACUACGUG